Molecule: ribosomal RNA, 252 nt
Filed under: uncultured bacterium
Lineage: Bacteria
Description: partial 16S ribosomal RNA
Rfam family: Bacterial small subunit ribosomal RNA
Source: RNAcentral
UACGUAGGGUGCGAGCGUUAAUCGGAAUUACUGGGCGUAAAGCGUGCGCAGGCGGCGCGUUAAGACAGGUGUGAAAGCCCCGAGCUUAACUUGGGAAUUGCGCUUGUGACUGGCGUGCUGGAGUGUGGCAGAGGGAGUGGAAUUCCACGUGUAGCAGUGAAAUGCGUAGAGAUGUGGAGGAACACCGAUGGCGAAGGCAGCCUCCUGGGCCAGCACUGACGCUCAUGCAUGAAAGCGUGGGGAGCAAACAGG